This 7278-nucleotide long non-coding RNA is filed under the name Lactuca sativa (garden lettuce). RNAcentral's name for it is "long non-coding RNA (LSAT_LNC004715)". Lineage: Eukaryota; Viridiplantae; Streptophyta; Magnoliopsida; Asterales; Asteraceae. The record is from RNAcentral.
CCGGUUAACCACACGCGCUCCACUAACGACUUUUGAAAAUGCAAAUAACACAAUUGAUAUCUACGUAAAAUCUACUUAGUGAAAGCGUUUCCUCACCAUCAUUUUCAUGAAUCGGAGAGAAACCUUAUGACACUUAGAUUUUAUAGUGUAUGAGUUCCUAUCCAUGUGAAUUUGUCAAAACCAUAAUCACAAGAUAAGGUUAGUGACAAAUUCAGCCUUACAUGGAUUAAACUUGUUCAAUCUUAGUUUCUUGUCACCUUGGUAGCACAAGGCCCACCAAUGCUUCCAAGUUGAACUCUGAUAACUCACAUGCAAAUUCAACUUAUUUGAAGUAGGUACAGAAAUAAGAAUUAUGUCAACACGAUAGGUUGCAAACCUUAAGUCGUGUGCUAGUGAUAAAUUACAGGUUUUACUCUUGAUUAAAUCUUGAAACUCUUUCAGGAUCUUUAAGGCUCCCACUGUCCCCUUGACAUAUAAGUUUCCCCAGUCAAGAACCAUUCCUUGACAAAACAAAUAUUCAAGGGAUAGUGCGGAUUCUUAUCAAGACUAACACUUCACACAAUUGGUCUUAGUUGGUCUUUGUCUCAUCCAAGACAUCACAACUUACCAAUCUCAAAUGUACAAGAGUAGAAAACAUUUUACUCUUACAUUUGACUAGUGUUAAUAAAUCUUCCUUUAUGUCACUCAAAGUUACAAUCUUGGAGUAUGACUCUAAGAAUUGUUUUGGAACGAAGUAUGACUCAUCUUCUUGAUUUUAACCAAUCCAACAAUUCAUGACCUCUCUUCUUAGCCAUAACAAUGCACUAAGACGUCCUUAGAGUAUGAAUUUGUGAUAUGGUUUCAUAAUCAUUAAGAUGAUCAUGAAAUACGAUACUAAAGUACUCUCCCAUCCUUUCAGAUUUGAGAAACUUUUAUCUUUCUGCCUAAUUUGAUUCUUCUCAUUUGUUUUGUCAUACAUUGUAACCUUUCCAAUGUUACAGAAUUAUACUUAACCUCAUAAGUAUAAUCAUAUUUACUAAUCUUUAGUAAAUCAUGACAAAUCAAUCUUUGUGGUGGACCUUGACCAGCGCACACCCAGUGUACCUAAUUCCUUAGUCCUUCAAUUGACUCACAUAUACAUGUGAUCAAAGAAUUAGUCUUAAUUUUCAAAGAUGAAAAUUCUCAUUCAUCAUACAAUACAACUUGUAUGAUUCCAAGUUUCUGUCCAAUUGAAACUUGGGUGAUGAAAAACUUUCUUCAUUUGGUAAAUUCAGACACUACCACAAAUGAAAGAAUCAAAUCCACUUUCCAAUAUUGCUAUUACUGGAAACAUAUAAGCAACAAUUUUCCACAGAUGCCAUUGUAAGGAUAUUUUUAAAAUAAAUAAAAUUAAAACCCUUUUUUUUUUUUUUUUUAAAACUUUGCGGAAAAACUUAUCCUUACAAUCCACAUGAAAACCUUGUUGUUAUCUAUUCAUAAGCAAUAUAUUAUAACUCUUAAGCAACAGCUCAAAAUUCUGAUUACCGAACCAUGCGAUCGAAACCCACCUUCGCAAUCAGAAUCAACAUAUACUUACUUUAAGCUUCCUAUCUUUUCUUUGAUUCUUAAAAACAUCAGCAUGUGACCCAUUCACAUUAUGUAAUAAGAAUCUCCAAAUAGGAACUUAAUAGAGUUAGACAGUGGACUUUACCCGAAGUAGAGUCAAACCUCUUGACUUGAUCAACCUUAUGACCUUUCAGGUGAAUAGGGCAGCUUCGCAACCAAUGCCCCUUCCUUUGGCAACAAAACACAUGGACCCUUUGGUAAUGGCACAUGAGACUAUCUCAGACUUAGCCUUUCUCUUUACCAUUUGGUCAACCGAGUUGACUAUGGCCGAUCCCUUUCCAUUGGGAAGAGAAAUCCUUUUCUAGAUAUCCAAUGCUACCAUUGUCAAUGUCCAUUUAAGACUUGGGAAGUUGUUCUUUUAAUCAAAUUUGCUUUACUGGUGUUCCAAAUCAUUGCUGAUUCCACAACACCAAGCAAAUAGAUAACAUCAUUAAGGGUCAUGUCAUAGUCUGUCUCAUAGUAGUCCCAAAGAGACUCACUAUGUUACUAAGAAAGUGAUUGAACAUCCAACUUUCACGAGACUUUGACACCCAACUCUCCCGGCUUGUCAAUAUGUGACUUUAUCUCCAAGAUGUGAGCACACAUAGACUAUGCUUGCCAAUAGGGAUUGAGUGACUUUAAACUUUUCAAGAACUUGUGGGUGAGGGAGAAUAAUUGGAGGAGGUGGAGGAAGUGAAGCAUGAUGUUGAGGGACACCAUCUUCAAGAGAUUUGGGAAGAUCAUAGUUGUCUGAACCAGACAUCUAUAAUGGGAGAAAAUCAAGUUAGUUGAUUCAAAGUCCUUAAUAUAACACCCAAUAUGAAAUAUUAAGGCUAGGACCCAACACAAUAUUUUAUAAUUUGGAAGAGGGAUGCCGUAAUCCAAGCUAUAAAAUAUUUGAAGGUAGGCGAAUGACGAUUCACCAAUUUCCACCAUGAAAAACGAAAUAAUUUAUUAGGUUUUAAUUGGAUUUGAAAUUCCUAGAUCUUUUGAGAUUCAUUGAACUUUUCAAUGGCAUGUUUCAAUCUCGAGUGUGCCCUCUCAAAUUUUGUGACUGGGAUGCCGAGGAUCACAAAACAAGGUGUGAAUAACCAUACCAAUUCACUUGGUACCCUUAAUAUUAUCACCUAAUCAAUGUGCCGGUUAACCACACACGCUCCAUUGAUCUAUGACAAACAUUAAGUCACCCUUCGUGAUCCUUACUAGUCCAAGUUAGUGUGCCGGUUAACCACACACGCUCCACCAACGACUUGGUAAGGUACAAAGUGUGAAUUCCAUGGGCUAGCACCAAAUUCACAUUUUUCCUAAAGUAACUAAGAUUGGGAAUUAAAUAAAAAAUUUUUAGUUACUUUAUAAUAAUCAUUAUACUUUUAAUGAGAAUUUAAAGUCAUUGUCCUACCCGUUCGGCUAACGACCCUCCACCGAUCAAGCAAGCGGUGGGUGAGAGUGGACACCCAUUAAGUCGCCAUUUUAUAGGCAACAACCUUAUACCCACCUUAUAGACCGGCUUCGUGAAUGAGGCCUACUAACGGUAAAACGACUUGUUCUUAUACAUAUAUAUAAUAAUUAACCAUUAAUGUUAUAAAUAGUAUAAGUGUUGAAUUUUAACUUUUAAAACUCUAAGUGUUGGAAUUAAAGUUUAUUAAAGUGUGUGAAACUUUUCAAAUUCCAAAACUUGAGGGCAAGUUUUGUAACUAUCCAAAACUUUUCAUUUCAUAACUUAUGAAUUAAAGGUUCAUAAAAAUGAAGACUCUUCAUUUUCAUGUAACUUAUGUGUUUAAAUGUGUGUGUUAAAGAAAAGUGACCUUUGGAUAUCCAUAACUUGAGGACAAAUUAUGGACUCCAUUAAAACACAUAAAUGAUCAAGAAUUAAUUCUAAACAAUUCAGCAAAUAAUUCCUAUCAUCUUCUAAAUUCAUAAGAACAUGAACAUGAUCAUCAAAAUUUCAAGAAUUAUAUGAACACAUAAAAAUCAUGGAAUUUUGAUAUAUGCUAUUGUAAAUGGAUUAGAACAACCAUUACACCAACUAAAACAAGUUUUAAAACACCAAAACAGUUUAGGGUAAUGUUUCUAGUCCAUUUCCAGCAGCAAAAGUCGAAAUUCUGCAUUCUGAUCAUUCUACUCGCCGAGUGCACGAACCUACUCGCCGAGUAGGAUGAAUUUUGCCUUGAACUCGGCGAGUCCCCCCAUGGACUCGGCGAGUCCAUCAGCCAGACAGCAACAAUUUCAACUUUUUUCACUAUUUUGCAUCAAGUAUCAAACAAGCAAGCCUAGGCUCUGAUACCACUGUUGGGUUUUGAGCAAUCUAACACUUCCUAAGUGUGCAUGCAACCCUAAUAAACCUUGGAUCUAUGUUUGUCUAAAUACAUGCAAAAUAAUAAUUUUCCAAGGUUCAUAACCUAUCUAACAUGGCAUGGGGAACAUUUCAACAUAAAAGAGUUAGAAGAGAUUACAUACCUUUUUGAUGAGUUUGGUUCUUAAGGAGUUUGAGGGCCAAGCACCAAUAGUGUGAAUGCCUCAAAUGGAAUCACAAAACACCACAAACUCUUGGAAAACUUUGAGAGAGUAUACACACUUGUAUUUUUGGCCACACACAAGCACACACACACUAGUUCACUAGUUGCCAUUUCAUGCUCCAUAAGCAUGCUUAUAUAGUGUGCAUGGUUAGGGUGAAACCCUAAUAACCCAUGACCUUUCCUUUUCCAAGGAUCCAUGGGUUAAAAGCUCCAUGGAUCAUCCAUGGACUUCCAUAUAAGCCUAGCCCAUUAACAAAUGAGUGUUAGCCCACACCAUAUAAAACCAAUAGCCCAUAAUCUAAUUAGUCUUCCUUUUAAUCUCUAAAUUAAUUCAUAAUUAAUUUAAGACUAAGACUAAUUAAAUAACAUAACUUCAUAUUAAUAUAUUAUAACUUAUAAUAUAUUAAUAAACAUAUGUGUAUAACUCUCAUAAAAUUAUCCAUAAAUCGUUCGGAUGAAAUGCAACCCAAAUGGACCAUGCCGGGUCGGGUCAAGUAUAUACCAAAUAAGUUAUGGACUUAGACACCUUAUCCGACAGACUCCCACUUGGAUAAAUCUAAUAACUAUAUUUGCCAAUAUUACUUCAGGAACCAACCGGCAAUCGUAGCUCUCGAAAACUCUGUUGAACUAUGAAGCGCCAUUUUAGAUAAUUGAUUAUAUAGUCCUCUAUUCUCAUAAUAUCAGCCGGAGAAAUACAUGGAACAAUGUCUUACUUAUUGUCUGGCAGUUGUUUCUCGAUUUCCGACUUGUUUGACAAAGAACUUAACUGAACACAUCAAUUUAGUUCUGACCGGGACCGGUACAUGGGUCAACACAAAAUCAUCAAGGGGCCCAUAUAUUGCUUCUAUUUCUAGAAGGAACAGAUAAACUUCGACUCAUAUGCUUAUUCUACUACUUGUUGAAUUGUACACAAAGGCACGUUUUAUAACAUCAAGUUACUGAUGCGUUUACGUGCAAUCAAUGUACAACCAACUCAUAGGUAACAACUCAUAUCUCUAGGUUUGAAGACUUAUAUGAUAUUAUCGUCUCACGAUCACUCGAGAUAAAUUCCGUGAAGUGAUACAAGUGAGGGUGGGUUAAUUCCAAUACUCAUAACUUAUGAGCACUCAUGAAUGUUGUAGCAACCAUUGCUAUGUCUAAAAACAUUUAGCCAUCUACAACCUCGAUUCAUGACAGUCUUAAUGCAUACAUACUUCCAACAUACGAACGACUGUGGAGUGUUUAAAUAACUUAGUCAUUCGGAAAGAAUAACUUAGCUAUUCUGGAAGUCAAAACAUGCAAAGUGAAACACAAUAAUAAUCGAAUAUAAUAUGGUCUCAGAACCCUUUUGAAUAUAAAUAAAACCACCUUUCAUUUAUCACCAUAUUGAUUACACAUUAUUCAUUGUAUAAUGUUUCAAAUAAUCAACUAAAUACUUGAAUAAAAACAACAGUUAUCCCAUGCUCCUAGCAUGUACACUUUGUUUUUUUAAACAAUAGUUAUGCCAUACUCCAAGUAUGCACACUAUGUUUGUCUAUGAUCUUUACUUUGUGAAAUAGAUCAAUUGAACAUGAUUCUAGUGAUGCUCAUUUCACAAUCCCAAAUCCUUAUUGUAAAUGUAAGAAUUCCUAAUUCCUACCAUUUACCAAAAAUCUGUUAGAUUUUAAACUUAUAUGCACUGAUCCUCUCGUAAUGAUUAUGCACAAGGUCACCAAAACCUUGUCAUCAGUGAUUACAGAGAAUUCCAAAGGAGAUCAAAUCUAUGGAAACGAAGUCUCAUAUUCAAAGUACAUUGCUUUGAACAUCAUUCUUGCAUUAAGGUUUUCCUAAUCUUACACAGAUUGAAUAACUUCCACCUAUGGAGACAUUUCCAUACUCCCAUUUUGACUAUCAUUUCUGAAAAAGAGUUACCUCCUUUCAGAAUAUGUCAAUAUGGUCCUUUCCAACAAUUUAUAUCCUACUUCCAACUGUCCCCGAGCAACCAAUCUUUGGUGAACCUCACAUUGUCCUCGACAAUUGCUUAAUCACUUUAGUCAUAUCUAAUUCUAGAAUUUUCCCUUUUCAAUGCCCUAAGCAUUUGGAAAAUUUAGAGAGGAUGAAUAUUAUAGCACAUGCAAUCAAUCCUAUAUCCGAAGCAUAUGGGACACGAUUCAUGAUGUCUCACAUAAAGACAUGAUACUAGACCAGUCUUUUGCUACAAUAUUUUUUAUUUGCCAUGUUUUCAAAAUUUAACUAUAAAGAGGGAUGCUGUAAUCAUAAUUGAUUUUUUUUUUGAAAACGCAAUAUAUAUAGAAUUUCUUUAAGUUGAACCAUUCCAACAUAAAAUACAUAUAUAUAUUCGUGACUAAAGAUGAUUAAAAUCUCAAUCUAANAUAUAUAUAUAUAUAUAUAUAUAUAUAUAUAUCCUUGACUAAAGAUGAUUAAAAACUCAAUCUAAGCUUGCUUUUAGAAUUGAAAUGAAGUGUAAUUUCCUCUCCCUUAAUUAUAGCAAAACAAUUUUUCAAACCCUGCAACUUCACGAAUUGAAACUUUUGUUAUUCUAUAAUUAACAUUGAUAGCUUGCAAUAAAAAUAAUCAUAAUUAUCAUGCUUCCACUAACAUGAUGAUUAUUAGCACAACACUUAUGCUCCCACUAGCUUUGACAUGUAUUCUGAAAUCGGUUGGACUUCUAAAAUUUAGACUCAUACACCUUUCCGUAGAUAGCUCACAUGUGUGUCUAAAGAAUUUCCAGAACUAUGAAAAGGGAUGUCGUAAUCAUAGUCUUAAUUGUUUAGACCUUUUCCAUUUCUCACAAGUCCAUGUUAGUGUGCCGGUUAACCACACACGCUCCAUUAACGACUUUGAGAAUGCAAACAUCACAAUUGCUAUCUACUUAAAAUCUUUUUAGUGAAAGCAUUUCCUCACCAUCAUUUUCAUGAAUCGGAGAGAAACCUUAUGAAACUUAGAUUUUAUAGUGUAUGAGUUUCUAUCCAUGUGAAUUUGUCAAAACCAUAAUCAUAAGACAAGGUUAGUGACAAAUUCAGCCUUACAUGGAUUGAAAUUGUUCAAUCUUAAUUUCUUGUCACCUGGUAGCACAAGGCCCACCAAUGCUUCCAAGCUGUUAUGCACAUAGUUUAGAACUAACAGAACUCACAUGCAUAGUCAACUUAAUAGGAAGAGACACAGAAACAAGAAUUAUGUCAACUUAAUAGGUUGCAAACCUUAAGUUGUGUGCUAGUGA